RNAcentral lists this ribosomal RNA (460 nucleotides) under uncultured bacterium. RNAcentral's name for it is "partial 16S ribosomal RNA". It matches the Rfam family "Bacterial small subunit ribosomal RNA", at positions 338 to 795 of the family's 1533-position model. The record is from RNAcentral.
CCUACGGGAGGCAGCAGUGAGGAAUAUUGGUCAAUGGACGAGAGUCUGAACCAGCCAAGUAGCGUGAAGGAUGACUGCCCUAUGGGUUGUAAACUUCUUUUAUAAAGGAAUAAAACGAGGUACGUGUGCCUUUUUGCAUGUACUUUAUGAAUAAGGAUCGGCUAACUCCGUGCCAGCAGCCGCGGUAAUACGGAGGAUCCAAGCGUUAUCCGGAUUUAUUGGGUUUAAAGGGUGCGUAGGCGGGUUGUUAAGUCCGUUGUGAAAGUUUGCGGCUCAACCGUAAAAUUGCAAUUGAUACUGGCAGUCUAGAGUACAGUUGAGGUAGGCGGAAUUCGUGGUGUAGCGGUGAAAUGCUUAGAUAUCAGGAAGAACCCCGAUUGCGAAGGCAGCUUACUAAACUGUGACUGACAUUGAUGCUCGAAAGUGUGGGUAGCAAACAGGAUUAGAUACCCCAGUAGUC